GACGAACGCUGGCGGCGUGCUUAACACAUGCAAGUCGAACGAUGAAGCGGUGCUUGCUCCGUGGUUUAGUGGCGAACGGGUGAGUAAUACGUGAGUGACUUACCUUUGACUCUGGGUUAAGCCUGGGAAACUGGGUCUAAUACCGGAUACGACCAAUCUCUGCAGGGGGUGUUGGUGGGAAGCGUUGUUGGGUGGUUUUAGAUGGGCUCACGGGCUAGGAGCUUGUGGGUGAGGUAAUGGCUUACCGAGGCCGCGACUGGUAGCCGGCCUGGGUGGGUGAACGGCGACACUGGGACUGAGAGACGGAGCAGACUCCUACGGGAGGCAGCAGUGGGGAAUAUUGCACAAUGGGCGCAAGCCUGAUGCAGCGACGCCGCGUGAGGGAUGACGGCCUUCGGGUUGUAAACGUCUGUUAGCAUAGAAGAAGCGAAAGUGACGGUAGGUGCAGAGAAAGCGCCGGCUAACUACGUG
Molecule: ribosomal RNA, 471 nt
Filed under: uncultured bacterium
Lineage: Bacteria
Description: partial 16S ribosomal RNA
Rfam family: Bacterial small subunit ribosomal RNA
Source: RNAcentral